CAAUAUAAUCACGACAGUCCUGUCUCGUUACACUGCUAAUGGGGUUUCAAGACGCGUCGUACGAUAUAUACGUAAAAGGUUUUCAAGCCUGUUCGAAUGCUUUUCCAAACCCCUGUAUAUACAACUAUAUUGGGUUGGCAACUAAGUGAUUGCAGAUUUUGUCAAUAGGUGGUAUUGUAAAAUCCGCAAUCACUUAAUUGCCAACCUAGUAUACCAUUUCUUGGCGUUGUAACGACUUUGGCAAAGUAUCUGCGCGAUAUUUAAAGGUGAGCAAUGGAUCAAGAAGUUAGCAAGUUCGUUAUAAGAAUUUACUAGUUAACACGUUUUACGGAUUGAAUUAUCGAAGUUGUAACCGAAAUUGUACUUAUAAGAUAAAUAAGUGAGAAAGGUCAGAGCGCUCUAUGCGACCAUUAAAUAAAUUGAAAAGUAACACAAAGAACGGGAAAAGCUUCUAGGUCGUGGUUGCCAGAUGAACGUGCAAUACAUAGGACGUAAAAUAUGGUUUAAUUAGCGUUAUUUCGACGGAAGGAGGUCGUUUCACUCGCGAAAUUCCAUGUUUAAUUAUUUUGUUGGUCACCUUAUGGCGAAAGCACAGCUCUAUCGUUGGACGUUAUUUAAACGAGGCAUCCGGUACAAAGCGGAUGAAACGUGGAAAUCCGUUUUAAUAACCUCAAAACGCAAACCAGAUCUAAAGUUUUGUAAUUUUCUACGUAGAUAUGCGAGAAAGUUAAUUUAUUCGUCCAGAAUUAAUGAAUUAACAGACGCAGAAUGAGAAAAUAAGGUAUGUUUAACUUGCAGUAUAGUGUGCUGUGGUAUGCUACAUAUACAGGGUGUCCAGUUCUAAUCGAUCCAUGCAAAUAUCUUCUAACGUUCGUAUUUAUCUUCGUAAAUAUCUUGUAACGAUCACAAAUCUUAUUUAGAUGUACGUACCCUGGAAAUUUCAAGCUAGCCUUCGCUUUCUUUAAACGGAAACAUAAAUUUUUUUGUACACCGAUGCCGUGUUUAACACUCUACGAAAAUGCAUCAAGGUACUCGAAUCUGAAAAUGCUUACCUUGGACCAUAUUUCAACGUUUUUCACGAAAUUGUGUGUAUAAGAGACGAGGAGAACGUAAAUAUAAAAAACACUGCGUUGUCUUUCCUUGUCUUUCAUACGAAAAAAGGUAUUAGAAAAAGAACGGGUAGCGUAUUGCUGAAGGAAUGUCUAAAAGAAAGCGAAGAAACGAUUAAGAAAAUUAGAACAAAGAAUAUAGCAAAGACAAACAGAUAGACAGAGAGGGAAAUAUUGGUGAAGGAAUGUCUGGAAGAAAGGGAAGAGUCGAUUAGGAAAAUUAGAACAAAGAAUAUAGCAAAAACAGAAUGAGAGAAAGGGAAAUAUUGGUGAAGGAGUGUCUGAAAGAAAUGGAAGAGACAAUUUGGAAAAUUAUGACAAA
Long non-coding RNA from Bombus terrestris (buff-tailed bumblebee), 1431 nucleotides. RefSeq lists it as uncharacterized. NCBI's taxonomy places the organism in Eukaryota, Metazoa, Arthropoda, Insecta, Hymenoptera, Apidae. The transcript is spliced from 2 exons. The record is from RefSeq and is a predicted model, not a curated record.